UAUUAAACGGAGCAGUAAAAAAUGCAGACAUGCAAACCAUUUGGACGGGCUCCUCGGCGCAGAGCCUGCCAGGAAAUCAAUCUUCUGGUUUCUUAAAGGAAACCUGCUCGGGAGGAGGUGGUGAAGCGGCGCAGCCUGCAGGCCCUGGGAGGGGGCGGCCGUCAUCUGUCCAUCUGUCCGCCGCAGCCCAGCCGGCCGUGGGGGUCCUUGCCGGCCGCGGCCUCGGUGGCCCUCGGACAGGGAGCAGGGAGGGACGCCGAGCCACCGUCCGUCCACCCUGGGUGUGGGCCCUGGGGCCUGGCUGGGCUGGCCGUGUGCCCUAGAGCAAGAGGCUUGGCCCCUCUGAGCUCCCCUCGCCCGGUGGCAGUGAUCCUUUCUCUGGCUGCGCUCCCCACCCCCAGGGGAUGGUGAAGAUUCUUCCCUCACUUUGUGACUCUGGGACUUAAAGGAUUCAGCGGAGGUGGCCCAGCCCCUCUCUGCAGAGCCAGGAUCCCAAGCCAGAUGCAGCCAAGGAAGCCCCUCAGAGGGCUGCUGAGCCCAUCAUCCUCUGGCAGCUUAGCAAAGCCCAGGGCCUGAGUGCUGGGGGAUACCCUGUGCAAGCCCCGAAUGGAUUGAACAUCUGUGGGACCAAGAAAGGCAAAUGGCCCAGAACCUUAGCACAAACAGGCUGCUGCUGCCUGUGCCACCUGCCCUCUCAACUUCAUUCCACUUUACAGGGAUGCUGCGCCUGCCAAAAAGGUGUGUGCUGGUGAAGAAAGAAAUCUGUCUUGUGCCUGGGCGGUACCCCUAACGGUCCUUCCUUGACGAAGUGGGAGUGAAGAAGGAAAGGUUUGCCUUCCCUUGGUUCUCACGCCUGGAGUAUUACAACAUCGACAUACCAAGAAGAUAAAAAUGGAGCUGCUCUGAUUGGAGAGGAAGGGGGUAUCCUUGGACUUACCCCAUGCACACCCACACAGGCUGUGUCUUCCUGACGAGCCCCAGUCUCUUCAGAAUGGACUGAGGAUCAGCAGAUCACAGGGCAGCAGGUUCACUUGUCAGAGUUGCUAACUGGCACCAGAUGUUAAGACCCAACUGCAUGAAUGAGACCCGCUUCCUGGCCUUCUUGUGCUGAAGUGAUGGCGACUGGCCAGUCAGCCUUCGAGAUGGUCUCCAGAUGGUUCCUUCCUCCUGUUCACAUCUCUGUAGGCCCCUCCCACGGUGAAUAGGGCUCCCUGUGUGACCAACAGGAUGCUGUAGGAAUGACCCAAGGUUAGGUCAUAAAAGGCACCAUGGCUUCAGUCUUGCUCCCUGGAGUCACUCCCCUGGGGGAAGCCAGCCUCCAUGUUGUAAGGACACUCAAGCAAUCCUACAGAGAAGACCCUGUGGUGAGGAACCGAGGUCUCUGCCUUGCCAGCCUUGCAAGUGCACCAUCUAAGGAGCCCAUGGUCCAACCCCAGUCAAGCUGUCAGAUGACGCAGCCCCCACAACACCUUAGCGGCAAUCCCAAAAGAGACCACAAGCUGGAACCAUCCAGCUAACCCACUUCUCAAUUCCUUACCCACAGAAACUUGGAGAAUAAAUGCCGAUGAUUUUAAGCCACUAA
This is a long non-coding RNA of Canis lupus familiaris (dog), 1582 nucleotides long. RefSeq lists it as uncharacterized. NCBI's taxonomy places the organism in Eukaryota, Metazoa, Chordata, Mammalia, Carnivora, Canidae. The record is from RefSeq and is a predicted model, not a curated record. The transcript has 5 exons.